RNAcentral lists this long non-coding RNA (420 nucleotides) under Panax ginseng (ginseng). Its description in RNAcentral is "long non-coding RNA (PGIN_LNC003004)". The record is from RNAcentral. Lineage: Eukaryota; Viridiplantae; Streptophyta; Magnoliopsida; Apiales; Araliaceae.
AGAAUAAUAAAGAACGGAAUAAUAAAGACGGAACCAGGUCCGGCAUAUAACACAGACAGUUUAUUUCAACAGAAUAAUAAAGAACGGAAUAAUAAAGACGGAACCAGGUCCGGCGUAUAGCACAGACAGGAUAUUCCAACAGAAUAAUAAAGAAUGGAAUACAGAAGAAUUUCACCAAGUAUAGGGUAGCCCUCGUAUACAGGUUAUUCCAACAGAAUAAUAAAGAUGGAAUAACAGAAGUUCUCUUCAUGAAUACAAAAGAAAUAAUACCCCUUACGGGUACAACAAAUAAUAUCCCUUACCGUAUAAAGAAGAACUGAAUAAAGAAGUAGUGAAGUAGCAGAAUACUUUUCUUCUUUCUCUCUAUAGUUUCUCUCUCUAGAGUUUCAAUGAAUUCGUAAGAUAUAAUGAAGGAAUGAG